Molecule: ribosomal RNA, 254 nt
Filed under: uncultured bacterium
Lineage: Bacteria
Description: partial 16S ribosomal RNA
Rfam family: Bacterial small subunit ribosomal RNA
Source: RNAcentral
UACGGGGGGAGCAAGCGUUGUUCGGAUUUACUGGGCGUAAAGGGCGCGUAGGCGGUCGUGACAAGUCACUUGUGAAAUCUCCGGGCUUAACUCGGAAAGGUCAAGUGAUACUGUCGGACUAGAGUACAGAAGGGGCAACUGGAAUUCUCGGUGUAGCGGUGAAAUGCGUAGAUAUCGAGAGGAACACCAAUGGCGAAGGCAGCUCGCUGGGACGGUACUGACGCUGAGGCGCGAAAGCCAGGGGAGCGAACGGG